Molecule: ribosomal RNA, 403 nt
Filed under: uncultured bacterium
Lineage: Bacteria
Description: partial 16S ribosomal RNA
Rfam family: Bacterial small subunit ribosomal RNA
Source: RNAcentral
GACGAACGCUGGCGGCGUGCCUAAUACAUGCAAGUCGAACGCAGUGGGGACGGGUGAGUAGCACGUGGGUAACCUCCCAUCAGAGGGGAUAACACUUGGAAACAGGUGCUAAACCGAUACUGAUGGAUGGACUCGCGGGGCAUGAGCCAGUUGGAGAGGUAACGGCUCACCAAGGCCACGAUGCAUAGCCGGCCUGAGAGGGUGAUCGGCCACACUGGGACUGAGACACGGCCCAGACUCCUACGGGAGGCAGCAGUGGGGAAUAUUGGGCAAUGGACGAAAGGCUGACCCAGCCACGCCGCGUGAGUGAAGAAGGUUUUCGGAUCGUAAAGCUCUGUUGUUAGAGAGGCGGUAUCUAACCAGGAAGCCACGGCUAACUACGUGCCAGCCGCCGCGGUAAUUC